This 76-nucleotide transfer RNA is filed under the name Burkholderia territorii. RNAcentral's name for it is "tRNA-Pro". It matches the Rfam family "tRNA". From Rfam's summary of the family: Transfer RNA (tRNA) molecules are approximately 80 nucleotides in length. Their secondary structure includes four short double-helical elements and three loops (D, anti-codon, and T loops). Lineage: Bacteria; Pseudomonadati; Pseudomonadota; Betaproteobacteria; Burkholderiales; Burkholderiaceae. The record is from RNAcentral.
CGGAGCGAUGCGCAGUCUGGUAGCGCGUCUGGUCUGGGACCAGAGAGUCGCGGUUCAAAUCCUGCCGCUCCGACAA